GGGUGAUUAGCUCAGUUGGUAGAGCGUCUCGUUUACACCGAGUAGGUCGGGGGUUCGAGUCCCUCAUCACCCACCA
Molecule: transfer RNA, 76 nt
Filed under: Herpetosiphon geysericola
Lineage: Bacteria; Bacillati; Chloroflexota; Chloroflexia; Herpetosiphonales; Herpetosiphonaceae
Also listed under: 7 other names
Description: tRNA-Val
Rfam family: tRNA
About the family: Transfer RNA (tRNA) molecules are approximately 80 nucleotides in length. Their secondary structure includes four short double-helical elements and three loops (D, anti-codon, and T loops).
Source: RNAcentral